This 450-nucleotide ribosomal RNA is filed under the name uncultured Alphaproteobacteria bacterium. Its description in RNAcentral is "bacterial SSU rRNA". It matches the Rfam family "Bacterial small subunit ribosomal RNA", at positions 45 to 531 of the family's 1533-position model. The record is from RNAcentral. Lineage: Bacteria; Pseudomonadati; Pseudomonadota; Alphaproteobacteria.
GGCCUAACACAUGCAAGUCGAACGUGAAGCCACCUUCGGGUGGUGGAAAGUGGCAGACGGGUGAGUAACGCGUGGGAAUCUACCCAAUGGUACGGAAUAACUCAGGGAAACUUGAGCUAAUACCGUAUGUGCCCGAAAGGGGAAAGAUUUAUCGCCAUUGGAUGAGCCCGCGUCUGAUUAGCUAGUUGGUGGGGUAAUGGCCCACCAAGGCGACGAUCAGUAGCUGGUCUGAGAGGAUGAUCAGCCACACUGGGACUGAGACACGGCCCAGACUCCUACGGGAGGCAGCAGUGGGGAAUAUUGGACAAUGGGCGCAAGCCUGAUCCAGCCAUGCCGCGUGAGUGAUGAAGGCCCUAGGGUUGUAAAGCUCUUUCGACGGGGACGAUAAUGACGGUACCCGUAGAAGAAGCCCCGGCUAACUUCGUGCCAGCAGCCGCGGUAAUACGAAGG